GACGAACGCUGGCGGCGUGCCUAAUACAUGCAAGUCGAACGGUCUUUUCUAUGGAAGCUUGCUUCCACUGAGAAGAUAGUGGCGAACGGGUGAGUAACACGUGGGUAACCUGCCCAUAAGAGGGGGAUAACAUCCGGAAACGGGUGCUAAUACCGCAUAGUUUUCUUGAUCGCAUGAUUGAGAAAGGAAAGACGGCCUUUGCGCUGUCGCUUAUGGAUGGACCCGCGGCGUAUUAGUUAGUUGGUGAGGUAACGGCUCACCAAGACGAUGAUACGUAGCCGACCUGAGAGGGUGAUCGGCCACAUUGGGACUGAGACACGGCCCAAACUCCUACGGGAGGUAGCAGUAGGGAAUCUUCCGCAAUGGACGAAAGUCUGACGGAGCAACGCCGCGUGAGUGAAGAAGGUUUUCGGAUCGUAAAACUCUGUUGUCAGAGAAGAACAAGUUGGAGAGUAACUGCUCCAGCCUUGACGGUAUCUGGCCAGAAAGCCACGGCUAACUACGU
RNAcentral lists this ribosomal RNA (505 nucleotides) under uncultured bacterium. RNAcentral's name for it is "bacterial SSU rRNA". It matches the Rfam family "Bacterial small subunit ribosomal RNA", at positions 28 to 506 of the family's 1533-position model. The record is from RNAcentral.